AACGCUCUCCCCAAGGACGAAGCCAUGCAUGCCCGCUCACCCGGGACGCGGCGGACGGCUCAGACGACGGUUGCACCCCCCGCGGCGGUCCCUGCUAGCCGGACACCGCUGGCAACCCGGCGCCAAGACGUGCGCGCAAGGGCGGGCGCCCGCGGGCGAGCAGCGUGACGCAGA
Molecule: ribosomal RNA, 174 nt
Filed under: Giardia duodenalis
Lineage: Eukaryota; Fornicata; Diplomonadida; Hexamitidae
Description: Giardia intestinalis partial small subunit ribosomal RNA
Source: RNAcentral